Molecule: long non-coding RNA, 1003 nt
Filed under: Hordeum vulgare
Lineage: Eukaryota; Viridiplantae; Streptophyta; Magnoliopsida; Poales; Poaceae
Description: long non-coding RNA (HVUL_LNC020058)
Source: RNAcentral
CAUCAACCCAAUCUCAAAAUGGAUGUGUAAUGACUCUAAGUGGUCCAGCGGCGGCGAGGAGAGCACACUAAGAGAUGAUGAAUUGUCCAUGCAUUUGUUAUUGUUGGGUCAUUUUUCUGUUCUUUUAGCCGCAAUCUGCUGUAUUUUUUCAUUAAUAUAAAAGUAUGUUACAUGGGGGAAAGAAGAAAAGUGAAACCAAAUGGGUGGAUCACAUUCAAUCAAUUGCUGCUAUAGGUACAAAGUUCAUACUUCAAAGGUUAUUAUCUAUCCAACAAGCAAAUUGUGCUGAUUACUUGUCCUUUCUUUUGAAUUGGGGACCUAUGGUCAGCUUUGAAGCAAUGUCUCCAACUCUACAUUGACGGUGGAGUGGAUCUGAAUACCUUGCUAUUUCUUGCCGAAAAAGGCUUUUGCCCCGCUUUAUAUAUAAAGCAACAACCAGCGACACACAUCCGGAUACAAUGCUCCACCACCCCACACAACACACACACCCAAGACAAGAUACAAGGGUGUCGAUGCACCGCAACACUACCCAAUCGACCACCAAACACACUACAAAUGAGACAAAAGGAACUACUUAGGGCCGACGAGAACCUCCCGAGACCUAGCCACCGAGAAGUGAAGCGGUAGAGUGACGAAGCACGGACUCCAAAGCGGUGCAUUAAAGAAGGGCACGGCCUUUAUAGUCGCCACCGCCCGAUCCCGAGGAUCAGGUUUUCACCCGGAGCAACGUGGAGUGCCGAGGACACCAUGACGGAGCCUUCAUGAAGGAAACGACGUCCGUGGCCGCCGCCACCGUCGGACGGAGAGGACCGGACAAGUUAUGCACUUUGGUGUUAAACCUCCGUCAAACCACCAUGCUACGCCAAACAUCAGCAACCAUGCCACCCGCGUGACCAUGGCUGCUGGACGACACCCAAGACGCGCACUCCGCCCACGAACAUCGCGUCUCCUGCCGCCAGGGCCACCGCCCUACAUCCAAGAAACUCCGUGAAUGCCCAAAGGG